CGCCCUGCGUCCGGCCCACCGGGGUCCAGAACCCUGCCCAGGCACUCAGGGCCACCCGAUGAGCCCUAUAUCUUUAGGGGCCUAGCGCGACCAGGGCCCUUAAAAAAUAAAAUAAAAAAAUAAAAUAAAAAUAAAAAAGCAGCCGCAAAGUAAUGCUGGGAGGAAGUGACGGCCGGUGGUCACUUCCUCCCAGCUCCCUCCGCACGGGAGGGAAGAGAGCCAGGCUGCGGUAGCCAAGC
Non-coding RNA from Pelobates cultripes (western spadefoot toad), 239 nucleotides. Lineage: Eukaryota; Metazoa; Chordata; Amphibia; Anura; Pelobatidae. The record is from the annotation of a GenBank genome assembly.